CCUGACUCCCUUUCUGAGUACGGAGCCUGCUGCAACAGUGAGCCAGAGCCUGUUGCACCAGGGUUUAACCUUGGCCUGCUCCCUGCUUUCAGGAAGGGAAGGCCCUGGAAGGCCUUGAACCCUGCCACCUCCGCCCCUCCUGGGAUAAGGUUCCAACACCCCACGGAUGGGCCCAGGGCCCCCCUGCAACUUCUCCACCGCCGCCCACCGGUGCAACGUGGGUGGCCUACCGGCUGCAGUGAUCAUCAUCCCAACCCUGCUCUCCUCGUCCUCUCUCCUGAUCAUCAGCUUCAUCUUAUGGAAAACUUGCCGCCGGUUGUCCCGGGUCACCCAGCCCCACCUGCCAUCCACAUGAGGGGCCCAGGGAUGCUCCCUGCCUGGUGGGGCCUCCACAGGGAACCUGACCAAGGAGCAGGAAGUCCUCCUCCGGGGACUGAAUGAGAAUGCUCCGAGUUUCACCCCAGCUGUGGCAUGGCUUAGCACGGAAUCUGAAUUGUGGAAUGUGACACCCAGAAAUGGAGCUGAGUUAUAUUAAUGCCUGGGAACCUCUGCUGCUGAGGCCCCUGGAGCUACCCUGCUCCUUUCAAAGACCCAUUCAUCAAUAAUCCUUUUGAUUCUGAAAGUCCUUGCAAUCAAUUCCCCAAACUUUUAAUUUUCAUUUCUUUCAGAAUCAGUUUGUUACUUUUAAAGAAAAAACUUUGAAAUUAACAGUGAAGACAGAUGAAGCUGGUGGGGUACACAGUCAGCAUGGUCCAGUGUAUGUAUAAUAGGACCCACAUAUGUAAUUUUGCAUUUUCUAGUAGCCACAUUUUAAAAAUUGAAGUUAGUGAAAUUAAUAUUAACAAUGUUUCAUUUCACCCAAUAUAGAUAAGUAUUAUAUUUCAGUAUCUAGUCAAAAUGUUUAAAUUGCUAAUGAGAUGUUUUACAUUCUUCUCUUUGAACCAUGUCUUUGAAAUGUGGGGUGUAUUUUACACAUAUAGCAUAUCUCAAAUAAGACUGGCCACACUUUGAGUGCUCCAUAGCCACAUGAGGCUGGUCGCUUGCAUAAUGGAUAGCACAGAUUAAGAUAUUCAAGGUGAUGAAGGAUCUGCUAAGAAGUCCUGGCCUCAUUCUGAAGAGAUUCAUCCCCAGAAGAGAUUCAAAUCUAGAAGUAACAUGAUAAAAUAUAUAUAUAACUUUAGGAAGAUCACUCUGACUUCCACUUAUAGAAUGGACAGGAAAGGAAUUUGAAGCUUGAGUUAGGGAGAUCAGUUAGGAGGAGCUGAAGAGAGAAUGAGAGGUAAAGAUGUUGAUGAUAGACUUUGGUGGCAGCAGCUGAAAUAUUAAGAUGCAGUCCUUCCCAUCACUCCAUCUCACAUAUCUUCCCCUAUUCUCUCUGGCAACCAAAGAGGCAAAUCUAUGAUCUUUAAGGCAUAGUCCCUGGCAGUUAUGCCCACAAAGUGGUCCAC
Long non-coding RNA from Bos mutus (wild yak), 1448 nucleotides. NCBI's taxonomy places the organism in Eukaryota, Metazoa, Chordata, Mammalia, Artiodactyla, Bovidae. The record is from Ensembl.